AUUGAACGCUGGCGGCAUGCUUUACACAUGCAAGUCGAACGGUAACAGGCCGCAAGGUGCUGACGAGUGGCAAACGGGUGAGUAAUGCAUCGGAACGUGCCCAGUCGUGGGGGAUAACGCAGCGAAAGCUGUGCUAAUACCGCAUACGAUCUAUGGAUGAAAGCGGGGGACAGUAAGGCCUCGCGCGAUUGGAGCGGCGGAGGUCAGCUUAGCUAGUUGGUGGGGUAAAGGCCCACCAAGGCGACGAUCUGUAGCUGGUCUGAGAGGACGACCAGCAACACUGGGACUGAGACACGGCCCAGACUCCUACGGGAGGCAGCAGUGGGGAAUUUUGGACAAUGGGCGCAAGCCUGAUCCAGCAAUGCCGCGUGCAGGAGGAAGGCCUUCGGGUUGUAAACUGCUUUUGUACGGAACGAAACGGUCUGGGUUAAUACCCUGGGCUAAUGACGGUACCGUAAGAAUAAGCACCGGCUAACUACGUGCCAGCAGCCGCGGUAA
This 498-nucleotide ribosomal RNA is filed under the name uncultured bacterium. RNAcentral's name for it is "partial 16S ribosomal RNA". It matches the Rfam family "Bacterial small subunit ribosomal RNA", at positions 29 to 523 of the family's 1533-position model. The record is from RNAcentral.